Molecule: ribosomal RNA, 398 nt
Filed under: uncultured eukaryote
Lineage: Eukaryota
Description: SSU rRNA
Rfam family: Eukaryotic small subunit ribosomal RNA
Source: RNAcentral
AGCUCCAAUAGCGUAUAUUAAAGUUGUUGCGGUAAAAAAGCUCGUAGUUGGAUUUCUGUUGAGGACGAGCGGUCCAUACCACGUAUGCGCAUCUGUUUCGGCCUCGGCAUCCUUUCGAAAGACGUUUCUGCGCUUGAUUGCGUGGAGCGGAUUCCGGAACUUUUACUUUGAGGAAAUUAGAGUGUUCACGGCAGGCUAUCGCCAGAAUACAUUAGCAUGGAAUAAUACUAUAGGAUCUUGACCCUAUUUUGUUGGUUUCUAGGGCUGAGAUAAUGAUUAAUAGGGACAAUUGGGGGCAUUCGUAUCAACACGUCAGAGGUGGAAUUCUUGGAUUGUGUUGCGACGAACUACUGCGAAAGCAUUUGCCAAGGAUGUUUUCAUUGAUCAAGAACGAAAGU